RNAcentral lists this ribosomal RNA (575 nucleotides) under Salmonella enterica. RNAcentral describes it as "partial 23S ribosomal RNA". It matches the Rfam family "Bacterial large subunit ribosomal RNA", at positions 161 to 666 of the family's 2925-position model. Lineage: Bacteria; Pseudomonadati; Pseudomonadota; Gammaproteobacteria; Enterobacterales; Enterobacteriaceae. The record is from RNAcentral.
AAUCCAUAGGUUAAUGAGGCGAACCGGGGGAACUGAAACAUCUAAGUACCCCGAGGAAAAGAAAUCAACCGAGAUUCCCCCAGUAGCGGCGAGCGAACGGGGAGGAGCCCAGAGCCUGAAUCAGCAUGUGUGUUAGUGGAAGCGUCUGGAAAGGCGCGCGAUACAGGGUGAGAGCCCCGUACACAAAAGCGCACGUGCUGUGAGCUCGAUGAGUAGGGCGGGACACGUGGUAUCCUGUCUGAAUAUGGGGGGACCAUCCUCCAAGGCUAAAUACUCCUGACUGACCGAUAGUGAACCAGUACCGUGAGGGAAAGGCGAAAAGAACCCCGGCGAGGGGAGUGAAACAGAACCUGAAACCGUGUACGUACAAGCAGUGGGAGCCCCACCACCAAAGCGUUUCGCUUUGCGUGGUGCGCAAAAUGCGUAACGACAGCACGAUUGCGGUUAACGGAGCGUAAGCGACGUUCAACACAAAAAUCAGGCAGUGGAGCGUUUUGGGGUGGGGUGACUGCGUACCUUUUGUAUAAUGGGUCAGCGACUUAUAUUCUGUAGCAAGGUUAACCGCAUAGGGGAGC